CUCACACACCAGCAGCACAAUGAUGAUGUCACUGACUCUACUGCUGGCCACCCUGGGGCUCCUUGUUCAGGGUUCAUCUGGAGAAAUCGUCCUGACUCAGACUCCUAAAGCUCAGUCUGCUGUUCUUGGACAGACUGUCUCUAUCAGAUGUAAAGCCAGUUCAGGUGUUAGCAAUGAUUUGCAGUGGUAUCUUCAGAAAUCUGGAGAAGCUCCCAAACUCCUCAUUUACAACGCAGACAGUCGGUUCUCUGGAGUUUCUGAACGUUUCAGUGGGAGUCAGUCUGGAACUGACUUCACUCUGACCAUCAGUGGAGUUCAGGCUGAAGAUGCAGGAGUUUAUUACUGUCAGCAGGACAACAGCUUCCCAUUCACACUGUGA
Non-coding RNA from Pelmatolapia mariae (spotted tilapia), 379 nucleotides. The record is from the annotation of a RefSeq genome assembly. NCBI's taxonomy places the organism in Eukaryota, Metazoa, Chordata, Actinopteri, Cichliformes, Cichlidae.